GUGUCAGCAGCCGCGGUAAUACGUAGGGUGCGAGCGUUAAUCGGAAUUACUGGGCGUAAAGCGUGCGCAGGCGGCCUUAAAAGUCAGAUGUGAAAUCCCCGAGCUCAACUUGGGAACUGCGUUUGAAACUCUAAGGCUAGAAUAUGUCAGAGGGGGGUAGAAUUCCACGUGUAGCAGUGAAAUGCGUAGAGAUGUGGAGGAAUACCAAUGGCGAAGGCAGCCCCCUGGGAUAAUAUUGACGCUCAUGCACGAAAGCGUGGGGAGCAAACAGGAUUAGAAACCCCAGUAGUCC
RNAcentral lists this ribosomal RNA (292 nucleotides) under uncultured bacterium. RNAcentral describes it as "partial 16S ribosomal RNA". It matches the Rfam family "Bacterial small subunit ribosomal RNA", at positions 505 to 796 of the family's 1533-position model. The record is from RNAcentral.